This 253-nucleotide ribosomal RNA is filed under the name uncultured bacterium. RNAcentral's name for it is "partial 16S ribosomal RNA". It matches the Rfam family "Bacterial small subunit ribosomal RNA", at positions 524 to 776 of the family's 1533-position model. The record is from RNAcentral.
GACAGAGGGUGCUAGCGUUAUUCGGAUUUAUUGGGCGUAAAGCGCGUGUAGGCGGUUUUUUAGGUUUGUUGUGAAAUUCUAGAGCUCAACUCUAGCGCUAUAACAAAUACUGGAAAACUAGAGAAUGGGAGAGGUAAACGGAAUUCCUAGUGUAGAGGUAGAAUUCGUAGAUAUUAGGAGGAACACCGGAGGCGAAAGCGGUUUACUGGAACAUUUCUGACGCUGAAAUGCGAAAGCGUGGGUAGCAAACAGG